This 508-nucleotide ribosomal RNA is filed under the name Fusarium oxysporum. RNAcentral's name for it is "eukaryotic LSU rRNA". The stretch from base 170 to 323 matches the Rfam family "5.8S ribosomal RNA". Lineage: Eukaryota; Fungi; Ascomycota; Sordariomycetes; Hypocreales; Nectriaceae. The record is from RNAcentral.
UAACCUGCGGAGGGAUCAUUACCGAGUUUACAACUCCCAAACCCCUGUGAACAUACCACUUGUUGCCUCGGCGGAUCAGCCCGCUCCCGGUAAAACGGGACGGCCCGCCAGAGGACCCCUAAACUCUGUUUCUAUAUGUAACUUCUGAGUAAAACCAUAAAUAAAUCAAAACUUUCAACAACGGAUCUCUUGGUUCUGGCAUCGAUGAAGAACGCAGCAAAAUGCGAUAAGUAAUGUGAAUUGCAGAAUUCAGUGAAUCAUCGAAUCUUUGAACGCACAUUGCGCCCGCCAGUAUUCUGGCGGGCAUGCCUGUUCGAGCGUCAUUUCAACCCUCAAGCACAGCUUGGUGUUGGGACUCGCGUUAAUUCGCGUUCCCCAAAUUGAUUGGCGGUCACGUCGAGCUUCCAUAGCGUAGUAGUAAAACCCUCGUUACUGGUAAUCGUCGCGGCCACGCCGUUAAACCCCAACUUCUGAAUGUGACCUCGGAUCAGGUAGGAAUGCCCAGGUG